Molecule: ribosomal RNA, 639 nt
Filed under: uncultured archaeon
Lineage: Archaea
Description: bacterial SSU rRNA
Rfam family: Archaeal small subunit ribosomal RNA
Source: RNAcentral
CCUUACGGGUGCAGCAGGCGCGAAACUGUGCAAUGCGCGAAGCUUGACACGGCUAUCCUGAGUGCCUUGCGCAUGUCAAGGCUUUUCUUCAGCCUAGAAAGCUGGGGAUAAGAGCUGGGCAAGACUGGUGCCAGCCGCCGCGGUAACACCCGCUCUUCGAGUGGUGGGCACUUUUAUUGAGCCUAAAGCGUUUGUAGCCGGUUUUGCAAAUCUUCUGAUAAAUUCCUCUGCUUAACCGAUGAUCUUCUGAAGAGACUGCGAGACUUGGGACCGGGUGAGGUUGAAGGUACUUCCGGGGUAGGGGUAAAAUCCUGUAAUCCUGAAAAGACCACCGGUGGCGAAGGCGUUCUGCUAGAACGGAUCCGACGGUGAGGAACGAGGGCUAGGGUAGCAAACCGGAUUAGAUACCCGGGUAGUCCUAGCUGUAAACACUGCCCACUUGGUGUUGCCCCUCCGAUGAGGCGAUGCAGUGCCGGAGCGAAGGUGUUAAGUGGGCCGCUUGGGGAGUAUGAUCGCAAGGCUGGAACUUAAAGGAAUUUGGCGGGGGGAGCACCGCAACGGGUGAGAGCGUGCGGUUUUAAAUUGCACUUCAACGCCGGAAAACUUACCGGGGAGCCGACCCCUUUGAUGAGAGUCAGA